CGGGGGACAUUUUCUAUAGCGGUCUGCGAACAGUAUGGGAAGCAUGCUUCUCACCGUUGGGCAAGCGAACAGCGGCAUGGUCGUGUUUAAUUUGGCUGUGAAGUUUUAUUCACGCAUAUGUUGUAGUUAUUAUUAUUGCAGCUGACUGCAAGUGCAUAUAUGAUGGGAAGGUGUAAAGUUAGAGCACCGAAAGCAAUGACUGCGCGUUUGAGCAGCGGAAUUGACUAGGCCGCAUGAGCAAAGAAAACGAAGGAUGGUGAUUACUCGGGUGGAUGUUUUCUGCACCUCACCACGUGGACAGGGUGGUGUCAUACAGUCACAUGGAGGACGGCCAGCAGCGAGGGGUCUUCGGUGUGAAUGGAUGUUCAGGAUAAUGGCACAGUAAGUAAUUUGAGUGUAAUGCAAAACGAUUGUAACUGAUAAACAUGUCUUUUUUUUUUUUCAUCUUUUUUAUUUUAUUUGUAUUUAUUUGUACUAUUUGUAUUCACGUUCCAUUUCUAUUGUAUAUAUUAAUCGACAUCUGUGGGUGGACAGCAGAAGAAUUUCAUUGCACAGAGAAAUGCCUUUUCUCUUGUGACACAUGACAAUAAACACUUUGAAUCUUGAAUCUUUAAAAAGAAUAAAGCAUUUUUCUACAAACCAACAGUGUUGUUUUUCUUAUUUUUAACUUCUUUCUGGGCACUCCUCUGAACCUGGCUGGCCUCUUCCGUGGCCACUCAAAGGUCGAGAGCAGUGCAAGAUCAAGUCAUGUCUUGUCAUAACUGGAGUUUCUUGGCUUUUAUUUCACCAAGUCUCUCUUUUAAAGCAAGACACAGACUCGAGAUGAAGUUCAUGAAUA
Molecule: long non-coding RNA, 838 nt
Organism: Oreochromis niloticus (Nile tilapia)
Lineage: Eukaryota; Metazoa; Chordata; Actinopteri; Cichliformes; Cichlidae
Exons: 3
Source: RefSeq, a predicted model, not a curated record